GUCCCCUACUGGCGAAAGUGAGGCAUGACAGCAAAGAUGGCGGCGCCUAGGAACAACGUGGAUGAAAUUCGUGAUAGGGUAAUACUGGGUGAAUUUGGCGUAAAAAAUGUCCAUUCUACAGAUUAUCCUGGAAAUUACCCCGGUUACGAUGACACUUGGGACUUUGAAAAAUUCAAAAAGAAUUUCAGGAUUGAUAUUGUUCAUUCUGACGAGAACACUUUGGAGUUUGAUAUGGUUGGAAUAGACGCUGCCAUCGCAAAUGCUUUUCGCCGUAUAUUACUUGCCGAGGUACCAACAAUGGCAAUUGAAAAAGUGUUCAUUUACAACAACACGUCCAUAAUUCAGGAUGAGAUCCUAGCCCAUAGACUUGGUCUUGUGCCCAUUAAAGCAGAUCCUCGUCUUUUUGAGUACCGGAGUGCGGAGGAUGAGGAAGGCACAGAAAUUGACACAAUCCAGCUUCAGCUAAAGGUCAAAUGCACCAGGAAUCCUCGAGCCCCUAAAGACUCUUCAGAUCCCAAGGAAUUAUAUCUCAUUCAUAUGGUCUACUCUGGUGACAUAAAAUGGGUCCCAGUUGGAAACCAGGCUGAUGUGUUCGCAGAUGCCAAGAUUUGUCCUGUGCAUGAGGACAUUUUGCUUGCACAGCUCCGCCCAGGGCAGGAACUUGAUAUAGUCAUGCACUGUGUCAAAGGAAUAGGCAAGGAUCAUGCAAAGUUUUCUCCAGUGGCCACUGCAAGUUACAGACUUCUUCCUGAAAUCACAUUAUUACAGACCAUUGAGGGAGAAAAGGCUGAGAGGAAAGCAAGUGGCAAAGGUGGUUAACAGUCGUUUGGACACAUGCAGCAGAGAAGUACUUCGGCACGAUGACUUAAAGAACUUGGUGAAACUUGGCAGAGUUCGGGAUCAUUUCAUAUGUGUGUUCACAGCAAAGGUCUCAGUUGAGUCUACAGGAAUCCUCCCUCCUGAUGUCCUGGUUAGUGAGGCCAUUAAUGUGCUCAUCGCUAAGUGCCAGAAAUUUCUAGCAGAGCUUGAUGCAACAGAAAUGGACUAGAUGGAGUGUGACUGGCCUUAUUUCCCUCUACUUACUUCCUGGAAUGAACAGGAUCCUAUAUCUUUGGAGUUAAAUUGUCAUUGGCUGCCUGAAAUUGUACACAUCUUGCAUUCUAAACCUUUGGCUUAAAGAUUCCCUUGAAAAGUGUGAAUUCAUACAAAUUCCUUCACAGCAAGAGUUAAACAAGCUAAACAACAAAAAUGAAGCACGGAAAAGGCAUCAUGUUUAUUCAUCUGCUCGUUUCAAGGCCAAAACCUUAUGACAGUCUUGAAGAUUUCUUCACAUUUAUGUUUAUUUUCCAAACAAACUUGUUCCUGAAUGGAUUCAAGCAGAGUUUCUUAUUUUUAGUUUAAUCUCAGGACUACCUGAGAGGACUUUAUAAUAAAAAAAUAAUGUUGUAAGUCUCAUAUUUGACAUGACAAAGUUUUGACAUUUGUUAAUCCAUACGUAUUAAACUUUUGUUAUUGGCAAAGAGACAAACUUGUCUAUGAAUUCUUGUCAGUGGAUUUUGCAUGAAUACAUAGAUGGAUGCUCUGGCAAGCCCAUUUUACAUCUUUCUUCUUACUCUUGCCUUUACUCCUAGUUACUGUCAACACAUGAACAAUGUCGUUAAAGCAUGUUGGCAUGUUAAAGCAAAAUUAUUUUAAACUUUUCACAUUCGUAAGACAUAAAAGUUUGGAACUAACUGUGAUUGUGAACAAGCCAAGACUAUUCAAAUAUAAGUAAUACUAUAGUUUGGUCUACAUCUCUUUUUUUCGACCAGCUACACAGCUUCAACCAGUAGGAAAUCCAGUUUGUUUUGCCUGCCAACUCUCCUCUCUAUCAAUGAAAUCAAAUGCUGUAUCUUGGAAACUAAUGUUGACAGAAGCAAUCAAUUCAGUCAUCAGAAGUGUACUUAGAUUAAUUAGAUGUAUAACUCUUGAUGCUGUUUACAAAUAGUUG
This is an RNA transcript of Myxocyprinus asiaticus (Chinese sucker), 1990 nucleotides long. It is a transcript of the gene named DNA-directed RNA polymerases I and III subunit RPAC1-like, with no coding region annotated. The record is from RefSeq and is a predicted model, not a curated record. Lineage: Eukaryota; Metazoa; Chordata; Actinopteri; Cypriniformes; Catostomidae. The transcript has 9 exons.